GACGAACGCUGGCGGCGUGCUUAACACAUGCAAGUCGAACGGAAAGGCCUGCUUUCCCUUGUGGAUUGCGGGUACUCGAGUGGCGAACGGUUGAGUAACACGUGAGUGAUCUGCCCCCAACUUGGGUAUAAGCCUGGGAAACUGGGUCUAAUUCCCGAUAGGACUGCAGGGUGGUGCCUGUGGUGGAAAACGAUUUUCUAGUGGUUGGGGAUGAGCUCGCGGCCUAUCAGCUUGUUGGUGGGGUAAUGGCCUACCAAGGCGGCGACGGGUAGCCGGCCGGGGAGGGUGGACGGGCACAUUGGGACUGGGAGACGGCCCAGACUCCUACGGGAGGCAGCAGGGGGGAAUAUUGCACAAGGGGCGGAAGCCUGAUGAAGCGACGCGGCGUGGGGGAUGACGGCCUUCGGGUUGUAAACUCCUUUCGACCGCGAGGAAGCCACCUGGUUGGAAGGGUGGUGACGGUAGUGGUAGAAGAAGCACCGGCUAACUACGUG
This 494-nucleotide ribosomal RNA is filed under the name uncultured bacterium. Its description in RNAcentral is "partial 16S ribosomal RNA". It matches the Rfam family "Bacterial small subunit ribosomal RNA", at positions 28 to 507 of the family's 1533-position model. The record is from RNAcentral.